Lepidothrix coronata (blue-crowned manakin) is the source of this 1805-nucleotide long non-coding RNA. RefSeq lists it as uncharacterized. The record is from RefSeq and is a predicted model, not a curated record. Lineage: Eukaryota; Metazoa; Chordata; Aves; Passeriformes; Pipridae. The transcript has 3 exons.
GCCAGGUCACAGAGGUUUGGAUUCCCUGCUCCAUGUACUGGCCAGGUCACAGAGGCUGCAUUCCCUGCUCCAUGUACUGACCAGGUCACAGAGGUUUGGAUUCCCUGCUCCAUGUACUGACCAGGUCACAGAGUUUGGAUUCCCUGUUCCAUGUCCCAUGUAUCUCUCAUGGGCUGGACUCCCAGGAGCAGCUGCCCCAGUACGUUUUUGGGCUGAGGAAGCAGAGCCGACAAGCCGGAGCCCUCGCCACGUCCCUGGGGAGACAGAUCCGUGUGGGACAAGUGGAUCACAGGAAUAAGAGAAAAGAGGGACUUGGAAGAGGCGACAGGAAUCAAGGGCUUGUGCCAGUUUAUCCCCAAAUCAUAAACCAGGGAAAGACAAGGAAUGUGUAUAAAUAAAAGGAGUCAGGAGAGACCAUAAACCCACGUGUUGGUUUGGGAGAGAGGAGACACUGCAGCUGCCCUGGAGCAUCUCCAUGGGAUGAACUACAGGGAUGGGAGGGAUUUUAAGGAGAAAGAGGGAUGUUAGUCACAGGCCCAGGGACUUCUAGGAAUCCCAAGCUCCAGUUUUGUCCCUUCAAUGUUCAUUCACUCAUUUGACAUCAAUGACCUGUGGGAUUUGUGGUCAGAGCCCACACACCGGAGCAUGGAGUACAGGAAGAACAAAUCCCUGUUCAUUCCAGCCGCCUGGAAUCACACCUCAGAGCUGCAAGGAGGUGAGUAAGCAAGAAGUGGGUAUGAGGGACCGGUACAUCCCUCAUCCAUCUGCCCCAAAGGCUGAGCUCUGUGUCCCACUGUCCGGUGUCCCUCUGGCAGCCACGGCACAGGGAGCUCUGGCUCUGGAAUUUGCCAGACUGGGAUGGUUAUUGGGAGCAGAGUGUGGUUCAGGGAAGGCUGGGGAGCCCGUGUCCUCUCCCUGUGACCCUGCAGACUCUCCCAGCAAAGCAACAAUGCUGAUUUUAUCUGGGCUCCCCCGAGGUUCUGCCAGACCACUAUUAGUGGAUGUUGUUUAUAAAUGCAAAGUCAAACCUCUUCCUCAAGGCACCUCUUCCCCAGGGAAAUGACUCCAAGCUUCCAGUUCAGCUCAUCCUACAGCCACAGGUGCUCCCAUCACACCAGAACCAGCAACACCACCGUCACCUCUGUGUGAGGUUGGACGGGACUCUGGGCAACCUGGGCUAGUGGAAGGUGGCCCUGCCCGUGGCAGCCGGUGGGAUGGGAUGAGCUUUAAGGUCCCUUCCAACCUAAACCACUUCAGGAUUCCAUGUGCUGGUUUAGAUUGGGAUAUUGGGAAGAAAUUCUUGGCUGCCAGGGUGGUGAGGCCCUGGCACAGGUUGCCCAGAGAAGCUGUGGCUGCCCCAUCCCUGAAAGUGUGCUCCCAGGUCGGAUGAAGCUCUGGGCAGCCUGGUCUAAUGGAAGGUGUCCCUGCCCAGGGCAGAGGGUGGAACCGGAUGAACUUUAAGGUCCCUUCCAACUCAAACCAUUUCAGGCUUCUAUGACAGUGCUGUCCCAGAGGAAAUGAGCAGAAAGGGAGAGGAUGGAACCUGAUCAAUGGGAACCCUGAGUCAAAAAACAGGUGGGCGGGGAACUGCCUUUCCCUGCUCUCAUUGUCUGGAUUCAGGAGCCCCGUAAGGUACAGGGCACCGUAAACACCAAAAAAGCACAAGCUGAGAAGGAAAUGGUCACCUAAAAGUCUAGAAGUUGCCUGAUGCCUUUAGAUAAAUAACCAAUAAAUUGACAGGAAAAUCUAUCAACUGCACAGGAGGCAAGAGAGACUUUUUGGGGCUAUGAGGCUCUGCAGCUCCA